RNAcentral lists this ribosomal RNA (1330 nucleotides) under uncultured bacterium. RNAcentral describes it as "partial 16S ribosomal RNA". It matches the Rfam family "Bacterial small subunit ribosomal RNA", at positions 64 to 1379 of the family's 1533-position model. The record is from RNAcentral.
GAGGGGCAUCGGGGCGAGGAGCAAUCCUUGCCGCCGGCGACCGGCGCACGGGUGAGUAACGCGUAUGCGACCUGCCCGUUGCAGGGGGAUAAUCGGGAGAAAUCCCGUCUAAUACCGCGUAACGCCGCGGGGCUGCAUGGCCCUGCGGCCAAAGGAAGCGAUUCCGGCAACGGAUGGGCAUGCGUGACAUUAGCUAGUUGGCGGGGCAACGGCCCACCAAGGCGACGAUGUCUAGGGGUUCUGAGAGGAAGGUCCCCCACACUGGUACUGAGACACGGACCAGACUCCUACGGGAGGCAGCAGUGAGGAAUAUUGGUCAAUGGGCGCGAGCCUGAACCAGCCAAGUCGCGUGAGGGAUGACGGCCCUACGGGUUGUAAACCUCUUUUGUCGGGGAGCAAAUUCCGCCACGUGUGGCGGAGUCGAGAGUACCCGAAGAAAAAGCAUCGGCUAACUCCGUGCCAGCAGCCGCGGUAAUACGGAGGAUGCGAGCGUUAUCCGGAUUUAUUGGGUUUAAAGGGUGCGUAGGCGGACUGUCAAGUCAGCGGUAAAAUACGGGGGCUCAACCUCCGCCCGCCGUUGAAACUGACGGUCUUGAGUGGGCGAGAAGUAUGCGGAAUGCGUGGUGUAGCGGUGAAAUGCAUAGAUAUCACGCAGAACUCCGAUUGCGAAGGCAGCAUACCGGCGCCCAACUGACGCUGAAGCACGAAAGCGUGGGUAUCGAACAGGAUUAGAUACCCUGGUAGUCCACGCAGUAAACGAUGAAUACUAGCUGUCCGGGGCGAAUGAGCCCUGGGUGGCACAGCGAAAGCGUUAAGUAUUCCACCUGGGGAGUACGCCGGCAACGGUGAAACUCAAAGGAAUUGACGGGGGCCCGCACAAGCGGAGGAACAUGUGGUUUAAUUCGAUGAUACGCGAGGAACCUUACCCGGGCUCAAACGACAUAGGAACGUACCUGAAAGGGUUCGGCUCUACGGAGCUUGUGUCGAGGUGCUGCAUGGUUGUCGUCAGCUCGUGCCGUGAGGUGUCGGCUUAAGUGCCAUAACGAGCGCAACCCCCAUCGACAGUUGCUAACAGGUCAGGCUGAGGACUCUGUCGAGACUGCCGGCGCAAGCUGCGAGGAAGGCGGGGAUGACGUCAAAUCAGCACGGCCCUUACGUCCGGGGCGACACACGUGUUACAAUGGCAGGUACAGCGGGAAGCCACCUGGCGACAGGGAGCGGAACCCGAAAGCCUGUCUCAGUUCGGAUUGGAGUCUGCAACCCGACCCCAUGAAGCUGGAUUCGCUAGUAAUCGCGCAUCAGCCACGGCGCGGUGAAUACGUUCCCGGGC